RNAcentral lists this ribosomal RNA (489 nucleotides) under uncultured diatom. RNAcentral's name for it is "SSU rRNA". It matches the Rfam family "Eukaryotic small subunit ribosomal RNA", at positions 451 to 947 of the family's 1831-position model. Lineage: Eukaryota; Bacillariophyta. The record is from RNAcentral.
CUGACACAGGGAGGUAGUGACAAUAAAUAACAAUGCCGAGCCUCUUCGAGGUUUGGCAAUUGGAAUGAGAACAAUUUAAAUCCAUUAUCGAGGAUCAAUUGGAGGGCAAGUCUGGUGCCAGCAGCCGCGGUAAUUCCAGCUCCAAUAGCGUAUAUUUUAGUUGUUGCAGUUAAAAAGCUCGUAGUAGAAUUUCUGGUGGGGGAAUGCAGUUCAAGCUAUGCUUGAUACUCGCACUCUCCGGCCAUCUUUGAGUGGAGCCUGUCUGGCAUUAAGUUGUCGGGCUGGGGAUGCUCAUCGUUUACUGUGAAAAAUUGAGUGUUCAAAGCAGACUUAUGUCGUUGAAUAUAUUAGCAUGGGAUAAUAAGAUAAGACUUCGGUACUAUUUUGUUGGUUAGGUGCCGUUGUAAUGAUGAACAGGGACAGUUGUGGGUAUUCGUAUUCACUUGUAAGAGGUGAAAUUCUUAGAUUAAGGGAAGACGAACUACUGCG